ACAGAGAGAGAGAAAGAGAGAGACGUCUCUCUCUCUUACUGAGGAAAUGGCACGCAAUACCUUGGAUUUUUCUUCAACCUUUCAACCGCAUCACCCUAAAGCAAUCAUCAUGCCCUCCUCCUCCUCCUUGCCAUUCACACAGACUAUUCACCACCAUCAUCAUUACCCCCUCACCUCCACUAACUCAUGCUCCUUUUUCACAAUCCAACUUCUCUACGUCCCAAAACCAAAACAAGAGAAGUCACAGAGAAGAAGAAGAAGAAAAGGAAUAAAGGGUUAACCUAGCGUAUAUCAUUUGAGGCAAAAGGAUCUUUCUUCAUCGAAGGAUCCUACAACUACCUGGGGAAUCAAGCGUCUCGGUCCGAUCAUUUGCUAGAUCAAGCAAAUCCACAACAAGAAUAAUUAGAAAAACUAUUUAGCUCCAAGGGUUUUUCCUUUUUCAUUUCGAUCACUUGCUAAAUAUAUAUAUUAAUUACUAGUUUGCUUUAAUCUGUUUGAAGACCUUCAUGAUGCUGCCUAGUUAAGUUAUUUUGAUGUUUUUACUUCCUUAAAAAGAAGAUCUUAUGUGGGUAUGUUUCUCUUUGAAUAGAUCAUUUUCAUUACAUCUCUCUCUCGAUCUCUUUCUAGCUAUAUCUAAUCUUGUUGAAUGCUUAUUAACAUAUAUGUUUUGAUUAUUCUUGGUCACACGAGAAGGAAGAAUUUAUUGCUCCUUAUUCAUAUUCACGACAUGUAAUAAUUGGCUUAAUGUGGAUUCUUUCUGUUCUUGUUGAGACCAUGGGAAAUCAUAUACAGUUCAGAAGUUUCCUUUCUGAAUGAUAAAGGAAUAAAACUUCAUUACAUUUCAAGCCCGUGCCAGGUACAUAUCUACAAUGAUGAAACUAGGGUUUGCUUUUCCAUGCAGUAGAGUGUAGAAAUUAUAAUUCUUAUUCUCUCCUAGCUAGAUAUACCAUAUAUCAAGUAGCUAGAUCUUCAUGAGAUGAUGUAUGUAUGUUUAUCUGGUGACUAGCUAGUACAAG
This 1016-nucleotide unclassified non-coding RNA is filed under the name Hevea brasiliensis (rubber tree). Lineage: Eukaryota; Viridiplantae; Streptophyta; Magnoliopsida; Malpighiales; Euphorbiaceae. The record is from RNAcentral.